GCUUACAGGCCACACCGGCCUGAGUACGCCUGAUCUCGUCCGAUCUCGGAAGCUAAGCAGGGUCGGGCCUGGUUAGUACUUGGAUGGGAGACCGCCUGGGAAUACCAGGUGCUGUAAGCU
This is a ribosomal RNA of Oncorhynchus mykiss (rainbow trout), 120 nucleotides long. The record is from Ensembl. NCBI's taxonomy places the organism in Eukaryota, Metazoa, Chordata, Actinopteri, Salmoniformes, Salmonidae.